Molecule: ribosomal RNA, 441 nt
Filed under: uncultured bacterium
Lineage: Bacteria
Description: bacterial SSU rRNA
Rfam family: Bacterial small subunit ribosomal RNA
Source: RNAcentral
CCUACGGGGGGCUGCAGUAGGGAAUUUUCCACAAUGGACGAAAGUCUGAUGGAGCAACGCCGCGUGCAGGAUGAAGGCCUUCGGGUUGUAAACUGCUUUUAUCUGUGACGAAUAUGACGGUAGCAGAUGAAUAAGGAUCGGCUAACUCCGUGCCAGCAGCCGCGGUCAUACGGAGGAUCCAAGCGUUAUCCGGAAUUACUGGGCGUAAAGAGUUGCGUAGGUGGCAGAGUAUGUCUGUAGUGAAAGCGUGUGGCUCAACCAUAUACACAUUACAGAAACUGCUCAGCUAGAGGGCGAGAGAGGUUACUAGAAUUCCUAGUGUAGGAGUGAAAUCCGUAGAUAUUAGGAGGAAUACCGAUGGCGUAGGCAGGUAACUGGCUCGUCCCUGACACUAAGGCACGAAAGCGUGGGUAGCAAACGGGAUUAGAUACCCGUGUAGUC